GAUGAACGCUAGCGGCAGGCCUAAUACAUGCAAGUCGAACGAGAUUAAGAGGCUUGCUUCUUAUGAAAGUGGCGCACGGGUGCGUAACGCGUAUGCAACCUACCUUAAUCAGGGGGAUAGACCGAAGAAAUUCGGAUUAAGACCGCAUAAAAACACAGGAUAGCAUUAUCCAAUGUUCAAAUAUUUAUAGGAUUAAGAUGGGCAUGCGUGUCAUUAGCUAGUUGGCGGGGUAACGGCCCACCAAGGCGACGAUGACUAGGGGAUCUGAGAGGAUGACCCCCCACACUGGUACUGAGACACGGACCAGACUCCUACGGGAGGCAGCUGUAAGGAAUAUUGGUCAAUGGAGGGAACUCUGAACCAGCCAUGCCGCGUGCAGGAAGACAGCCCUCUGGGUCGUAAACUGCUUUUAUUCGGGAAUAAACCUUUCUACGUGUAGGAAGCUGAAUGUACCGAAGGAAUAAGGAUCGGCUAACUCCGU
Molecule: ribosomal RNA, 481 nt
Filed under: uncultured bacterium
Lineage: Bacteria
Description: partial 16S ribosomal RNA
Rfam family: Bacterial small subunit ribosomal RNA
Source: RNAcentral